RNAcentral lists this ribosomal RNA (465 nucleotides) under uncultured bacterium. RNAcentral describes it as "partial 16S ribosomal RNA". It matches the Rfam family "Bacterial small subunit ribosomal RNA", at positions 28 to 507 of the family's 1533-position model. The record is from RNAcentral.
GACGAACGCUGGCGGCGUGCUUAACACAUGCCAGUCGAACGGAAAGGCCCUGCUUGCAGGGUACUCGAGUGGCGAACGGGUGAGUAACACGUGGGUGAUCUGCCCUGCACUUCGGGAUAAGCCUGGGAAACUGGGUCUAAUACCGGAUAGGAGCCAUUUUUAGUGUGAUGGUUGGAAAGUUUUUUCGGUGUAGGAUGAGCUCGCGGCCUAUCAGCUUGUUGGUGGGGUAAUGGCCUACCAAGGCGGCGACGGGUAGCCGGCCUGAGAGGGUGGACGGCCACAUUGGGACUGAGAGACGGCCCAGACUCCUACGGGAGGCAGCAGUGGGGAAGAUUGCACAAGGGGCGCAAGCCUGAUGCAGCGACGCCGCGUGGGGGAUGACGGCCUUCGGGUUGUAAACUCCGUUCGCUAGGGACGAAGCUUUUUGUGACGGUACCUAGAGAAGAAGCACCGGCUAACUACGUG